Molecule: RNA transcript, 1593 nt
Organism: Sciurus carolinensis (gray squirrel)
Lineage: Eukaryota; Metazoa; Chordata; Mammalia; Rodentia; Sciuridae
Gene name: TBC1 domain family member 8-like
Exons: 4
Source: RefSeq, a predicted model, not a curated record
GUUACAAGGGAAAAAGGAGUAAGUUCAUGAUGCAGAGCCCAAGCAGCCAUUAACUCAAGAGACCAAGUGAACAUCACCAGGAGUGGAAGGAGUUGAAAUCGUGUCCACCUGGGAGGAUGUGAUGCAUAGCAUUCCUUCUGUGAGGCUGGCCAGAGACUUUAACCUGAAUCUGAACAGCAUGAGGCAAGCCAAAACUGGGAUUUGCUGCUGAAGAACUGACCAGUAAUCUUUGAAACCGUCAAGCUCAAGGAAGUCAAAGGUGGCCCGGUGGGUGCUCUGGAGGCAGUGCUGGAUUCCAACACUGAGGUCGCUCCCUUUCGAGUUCUGCUUCAAGUUCCCGGCUCACAGGUGUACUCUCCCAUAGCAUGUGGAGAGUUCCUGGACGGAUGCGACGUUCACUGGGCCAUAGCCACUGGGACCUUGAAACCCAAGCACAGAAGGAGCUGUUCUGAAUCUUUUUCAGGCUACCAAGAAAGGAGAAGCUGCACACUGUGGUGGACUGCUCCUCUGGACGCCCUUCAGUCGGUUCCACACUGCAGGGCACAUGAUUUCCUCUGACAGCUCCACCUACUUUGCCAGCAGAGAAGAUGGCUGCUACAAUGUUGUCCUUCCGCUCAGAGAGGCUGGGCACAGAGCACCUGUUUUGUACUUGACAAGCAUGUGCAGUGACCACAAGUUUGGGGAUCUUGAAAUGGUGUCCAGUCACAGCAGCAAGGAGCGUGAAGACAAGAGCCCACCUCUGCACCCCGGACCCCUGAACAUCGUCCUCCAGCCUUUGGGCAGCCAAAACCCUGACUCCUACCUGGUUGGUGAGGCCACUCAUUUCCUGGUGUGCCAUGGGCACUGGAGGCUGGGCAAUGACCAUGGAGGGUGUGGCACCUGAGCACCAGCUCCUCUGGACCCGGGUGGAGAGGUGGCCGCGGACCUUGGGCAGCAAGGCCUCUCUUGAGGGCUCAGACAGCAGAGCAGGAGCGACCUUUCCCCUGUCCUUAGUGGCUCUCAUGUCAUUCCUGCUGUGUGACUUGGGCAGCGGGCGGUGCAGGCCCUGUGGGUUUUCAGGUGUCAACCAAGUGUUCCUCCCACUGGCCGGUGGUGUCUGUGAGCAUCUCAGUUUGUUUCCCGCAUGUGUGUCCUGGGACAAAGGGCUGCCUGUCCUCUAGUUUUAUGAACUAAAAUUAUUUUUGCCACAUUCAUACUUUUUUCUUUAUAUGGAAAAUUUGAGGCAAACAGACUCCAAUUUCGUAACUAGACUCUAAGUGGCAGUGAAGAGACUAGUUUUGACCUUGUCACUACCUUGGGGACCAGGUGUGGCUGCAGACAUUAUUACCCACACUCCUCCUCAGUUACUGCAGCUCCUGCAGCAUCAGUUGUUACUCUUAUUGAUCCAGACUGAACCUUUCUUUUCAGAUGUGAUGCAUGCCCACACACACGGGAGGUAUGGGUAUAUAUAUAUAUAUGUGUGUGUAUUUAUUAUGUGUGUACAUAUAUAUAUAUAAUUAGUUCCUUAAUCUAUAAUUUUCUAAGUAUUGAGCAUAUAUGUAUCCUCCCAUUGCUGGAGAAUGCAGGUUAUUAAAAGCAUUUCACCAUAACCAA